This is a long non-coding RNA of Neodiprion fabricii, 882 nucleotides long. RefSeq lists it as uncharacterized. The transcript has 2 exons. The record is from RefSeq and is a predicted model, not a curated record. NCBI's taxonomy places the organism in Eukaryota, Metazoa, Arthropoda, Insecta, Hymenoptera, Diprionidae.
UGCGGACAAGUUUUAUCGCAGAGUGUUGUCUCCACGGUCUUACAUACAGGUCUGGCAGCUCGGGUGGCGGGGGAAGGGUCCACUAACGUUACUCGUUUUUGCAUUUCACUUUCUGACCAUGGUGAGCGCAACGAUCUAGGGGUAUUUUUUAAAGGUACUAACGACUUGUUCAUGCUGAGAACAUAACCUUUAUUUUCCAAGUAUUGCUGUAUACGCUGUACAUUGUACCCUAGAUCGCAAGGCCUCUGACGGUCACAUUAAGAACUGCAAACACGGGUACUUUUAGCGGAGUCACCCCCACCACCAAAAAUUAGCUGGAGAUGCCAGACCUGUAUGUAAGACCGUGGUUGUCUCUUUUCUACUACUAGGGAAAGCGCAGUCCAUGCUCUGUCUAUGGUACCGACCAGAAACUCAUCCUGAAGGUCCACUGGGCUUUGACUGAGGGCCAGAAAAAUAUCGCAUGCUUCGAAGUGCCGGCGCAAAUAACGUAAUGCCAAAUUCAUAAAUGUAGCAAUCGUCCGCACUGCAUUCACCGGUAAUAAUUGUCACACAGUUGUUAGCGUUUUUAACAUUACCAUUACAUUUUUUCUCCAUUUAUACGAAAUGAUAUUCUUGCAACGUUUUCUUUUGAUUAUUUUUUUUUUUUUUUUUGUGUAUUUUAAUAUUGGAUAAUGGGUAAAAAAUUUGCAAAUAAGGGAGAGAGGGGAAAAAAAAGAUCCCAUGAAAUUCCACCAUGAAUUUUCUUUUUUUUUUGCUUUGAAAUCUCACCAUCACAGAUCUAUACGUAAGUAUAAGUAAUUUUUAUUACAUACCUACGUAUAAUAUAAUUAUAAAAUGUUAUAGAUGUGUAAGGAAAGUGGAAUAAAAGUUUGUAAAAUUUUC